UGGCUGCAGUGGGGAAUCUUGCGCAAUGGGCGAAAGCCUGACGCAGCGACGCCGCGUGGGUGACGAAGGCCUUCGGGUCGUAAAGCCCUGUGGGGAGGAACGAACAAGUCGAAAGACCCUGACGGUACCUCCUUAGCAAGCACCGGCCAACUCCGUGCCAGCAGCCGCGGUAAGACGGAGGGUGCGAACGUUGUUCGGAAUUACUGGGCGUAAAGCGCGUGUAGGCGGUGCGCGAAGUCGGGCGUGAAAGCCCUCGGCUCAACCGGGGAACUGCGCUCGAUACUGGCGGACUGGAGUUCGGGAGAGGGAAGUGGAAUUCCCGGUGUAGAAGUGAAAUUCGUAGAUAUCGGGAGGAACACCGGUGGCGAAGGCGGCUUCCUGGACCGUGACUGACGCUGCAACGCGAAAGCGUGGGGAGCAAACAGGAUUAGAUACCCCGGUAGUC
This 445-nucleotide ribosomal RNA is filed under the name uncultured microorganism. Its description in RNAcentral is "bacterial SSU rRNA". It matches the Rfam family "Bacterial small subunit ribosomal RNA", at positions 346 to 795 of the family's 1533-position model. The record is from RNAcentral.